AGUGAACGCUGGCGGUAGGCCUAACACAUGCAAGUCGAACGGCAACACAGUAAGAGCUUGCUCUUACGGGUGGCGAGUGGCGGACGGGUGAGGAAUACAUCGGAAUCUACUUUUUCGUGGGGGAUAACGUAGGGAAACUUACGCUAAUACCGCAUACGACCUACGGGUGAAAGCAGGGGAUCUUCGGACCUUGCGCGAUUGAAUGAGCCGAUGUCGGAUUAGCUAGUUGGCGGGGUAAAGGCCCACCAAGGCGACGAUCCGUAGCUGGCCUGAGAGGAUGGUCAGCCACACUGGAACUGGGACACAGUCCAGACUCCUACGGGAGGCAGCAGUGGGGAAUAUUGGACAAAGGGCGCAAGCCUGAUCCAGCCAUACCGCGUGGGUGAAGAAGGCCUUCGGGUUGUAAAGCCCUUUUGUUGGGAAAGAAAAGCAGCAGGUUAAUACCCCGCUGUUCUGACGGUACCCAAAGAAUAAGCACCGGCUAACUUCGUG
RNAcentral lists this ribosomal RNA (492 nucleotides) under uncultured bacterium. Its description in RNAcentral is "partial 16S ribosomal RNA". It matches the Rfam family "Bacterial small subunit ribosomal RNA", at positions 29 to 507 of the family's 1533-position model. The record is from RNAcentral.